RNAcentral lists this ribosomal RNA (402 nucleotides) under uncultured bacterium. Its description in RNAcentral is "bacterial SSU rRNA". It matches the Rfam family "Bacterial small subunit ribosomal RNA", at positions 355 to 774 of the family's 1533-position model. The record is from RNAcentral.
UGGGGAAUAUUGGACAAUGGGGGAAACCCUGAUCCAGCAAUGCCGCGUGAGUGAAGAAGGCCUUAGGGUUGUAAAGCUCUUUCGCCCGCGAAGAUAAUGACGGUAGCGGGAGAAGAAGCCCCGGCUAACUCCGUGCCAGCAGCCGCGGUAAUACGAAGGGUGCAAGCGUUACUCGGAAUUACUGGGCGUAAAGCGUGCGUAGGCGGUUCGUUAAGUCCGAUGUGAAAGCCCUGGGCUCAACCUGGGAACUGCAUUGGAUACUGGCGAGCUAGAGUGCGGUAGAGGAUGGUGGAAUUCCCGGUGUAGCGGUGAAAUGCGUAGAGAUCGGGAGGAACACCAGUGGCGAAGGCGGCCAUCUGGACCAGCACUGACGCUGAGGCACGAAAGCGUGGGGAGCAAACA